Molecule: ribosomal RNA, 429 nt
Filed under: Bacteroidota bacterium
Lineage: Bacteria; Pseudomonadati; Bacteroidota
Description: Bacteroidetes bacterium partial 16S ribosomal RNA
Rfam family: Bacterial small subunit ribosomal RNA
Source: RNAcentral
UAGGGAAUCUUCCGCAAUGGACGCAAGUCUGACGGAGCAACGCCGCGUGAGUGAAGAAGGAUUUCGGUUCGUAAAACUCUGUUGUUAGAGAAGAACAGCGCAUAGAGUAACUGUUAUGCGUGUGACGGUAUCUAACCAGAAAGCCACGGCUAACUACGUGCCAGCAGCCGCGGUAAUACGUAGGUGGCAAGCGUUGUCCGGAUUUAUUGGGCGUAAAGCGAGCGCAGGCGGUCAAUUAAGUCUGAUGUGAAAGCCCCCGGCUCAACCGGGGAGGGUCAUUGGAAACUGGUUGACUUGAGUGCAGAAGAGGAGAGUGGAAUUCCAUGUGUAGCGGUGAAAUGCGUAGAUAUAUGGAGGAACACCAGUGGCGAAGGCGACUCUCUGGUCUGCAACUGACGCUGAGGUUCGAAAGCGUGGGUAGCAAACAGG